UGACCUCGAUCAGGAGGACC
This 20-nucleotide ribosomal RNA is filed under the name Bulbothrix isidiza. Its description in RNAcentral is "partial 26S ribosomal RNA". Lineage: Eukaryota; Fungi; Ascomycota; Lecanoromycetes; Lecanorales; Parmeliaceae. The record is from RNAcentral.